UCGGCCAACGGCGACUCCACCAUCGGUUCGAUGAUCGCCAAGGCGAUGCAGAAGGUCGGCAACGAGGGCGUCAUCACGGUUGAAGAAGCCAAGUCGCUCGACACCGAAGUCGACAUCGUCGAGGGCAUGCAGUUCGACCGCGUAUCUCUCGCCCUACUUCGUGACCAAUCCCGAGAAGAUGACCGCCGAGCUGGAAGACGCUUACGUGCUCCUGCACGAGAAGAAGCUCUCCGGCCUCCAGGCCAUGCUGCCCGUGCUCGAAGCCGUGGUGCAGACCGGCAAGCCGCUGCUGAUCGUCGCCGAAGACNNNNNNNNNAGCUCUCGCGACGCUGGUCGUCAACCGUCUGCGCGGCGGCCUCAAGGUGGCAGCCGUCAAGGCUCCGGGCUUCGGCGAUCGCCGCAAGGCCAUGCUGGAAGACAUCGCGAUCCUCACCGGCGGCCAACUGAUCUCCGACGAUCUCGCGUGACGCUGAAGAUGCUCGGCCGCGCCAAGAAGGUCGUGAUCGACAAGGAAAACACCACCAUCGUCAACGGCGCCGGCAAGAAGGCCGACAUCGAGGCGCGCGUGAACCAGAUCAAGGCGCAGGUCGAGGAAACCACCUCGGACUACGACCGCGAGAAGCUUCAGGAGCGUCUGGCCAAGCUCGCCGGCGGCGUCGCGAUCAUUCGCGUCGGCGGCGCGACCGAGAUCGAGGUGAAGGAAAAGAAGGAUCGUGUCGAGGACGCGCUCAACGCAACCCGCGCGGCCGUUCAGGAAGGUAUCGUUCCGGGCGGCGGCACCGCGCUGCUGCGCGCCAAGAAGGCCGUCGGCCGGAUCAACAAUGACAACUCCGACGUGCAGGCCGGCAUCAACAUCGUGCUGAAGGCGCUGGAAGCUCCGAUCCGCCA
Molecule: unclassified non-coding RNA, 888 nt
Filed under: Hevea brasiliensis (rubber tree)
Lineage: Eukaryota; Viridiplantae; Streptophyta; Magnoliopsida; Malpighiales; Euphorbiaceae
Source: RNAcentral